Molecule: ribosomal RNA, 35 nt
Filed under: Clavulina livida
Lineage: Eukaryota; Fungi; Basidiomycota; Agaricomycetes; Cantharellales; Hydnaceae
Description: partial 18S ribosomal RNA
Source: RNAcentral
GAUUUAGCUUGCGUAGUGACCUGCGGAGGUCAUUA